UUCAGAUGGUGUCUUACUGGUUCGUACCAAGGGACAUAAUGGUUUCUUGUUUCCAACCAAAGAACAAGUGGCGAGCCUGAAU
RNAcentral lists this non-coding RNA (82 nucleotides) under unclassified sequences. RNAcentral describes it as "wcaG RNA". It matches the Rfam family "wcaG RNA". The record is from RNAcentral.